Molecule: ribosomal RNA, 1178 nt
Filed under: uncultured bacterium
Lineage: Bacteria
Description: bacterial SSU rRNA
Rfam family: Bacterial small subunit ribosomal RNA
Source: RNAcentral
GAUGGCCUCGCGUCUGAUUAGCUAGUUGGUGGGGUAACGGCCUACCAAGGCGACGAUCAGUAGCCGGACUGAGAGGUUGACCGGCCACAUUGGGACUGAGACACGGCCCAAACUCCUACGGGAGGCAGCAGUAGGGAAUUUUCGUCAAUGGGGGGAACCCUGAACGAGCAAUGCCGCGUGAGUGAAGAAGGUCUUCGGAUCGUAAAGCUCUGUUGUAAGAGAAAAACGACAUUCAUAGGGAAUGAUGAGUGAGUGAUGGUAUCUUACCAGAAAGUCACGGCUAACUACGUGCCAGCAGCCGCGGUAAUACGUAGGUGGCGAGCGUUAUCCGGAAUGAUUGGGCGUAAAGGGUGCGUAGGUGGCAGAACAAGUCUGGAGUAAAAGGUAUGGGCUCAACCCGUACUGGCUCUGGAAACUGUUCAGCUAGAGAACAGAAGAGGACGGCGGAACUCCAUGUGUAGCGGUAAAAUGCGUAGAUAUAUGGAAGAACACCGGUGGCGAAGGCGGCCGUCUGGUCUGUUGCUGACACUGAAGCACGAAAGCGUGGGGAGCAAAUAGGAUUAGAUACCCUAGUAGUCCACGCCGUAAACGAUGAGAACUAGGUGUUGGGGGAAUAACUCAGUGCCGCAGUUAACGCAAUAAGUAAUCCACCUGGGGAGUACGACCGCAAGGUUGAAACUCAAAGGAAUUGACGGGGGCCCGCACAAGCAGUGGAGUAUGUGGAUUAAUUCGAAGCAACGCGAAGAACCUUACCAAGUCUUGACAUCCGCCUGACCGAUCCUUAACCGGAUCUUUCCUUCGGGACAGGCGAGACAGGUGGUGCAUGGUUGUCGUCAGCUCGUGUCGUGAGAUGUUGGGUUAAGUCCCGCAACGAGCGCAACCCCUAUCCUCAGUAGCCAGCAUUUAAGGUGGGCACUCUGGGGAGACUGCCAGGGAUAACCUGGAGGAAGGCGGGGAUGACGUCAAAUCAUCAUGCCCCUUAUGAUUUGGGCUACACACGUGCUACAAUGGCGUAAACAAAGGGAAGCGAGAUCGUGAGAUGGAGCAAAUCCCAAAAAUAACGUCCCAGUUCGGACUGUAGUCUGCAACCCGACUACACGAAGCUGGAAUCGCUAGUAGUCGCGGAUCAGAAUGCCGCGGUGAAUACGUUCCCGGGUCUUGCACUCACCGCCCGUCAA